GGAAGGAUGUCUCAGCUCAAGACAGAGUUCAGUUGUAAAGAGCAGCUCUUCAAAAAGCCUGCAGAAGGAACCUGAGGGCCUUCUCAAAUUGUAUAAGCUUCAAGCUCUAUAAAACCUGGAUCUACUCCUAUUUGAUGGUUAAGUCAAAGUUCAGAUUAAAAGAUGUAUACUCCACAUUUCUCACAUUGAAGCAAGAUCUAUAACUCAUUUGUGCUGCUGAUUAAUAAAUUGAUGGUAUAGUUGAAUUGGAUCAUUCAAGGGUCUUCCCAGGAACAGCCUGUAAGACUUCAAAUAAAGGAUCAUGCUGACACUGGCCUAAGGUGGGAAGCUCUCACAGAAAAUGCCUGGCUUAAAGUACCGCGGCUCCAUGGGACAAGACUUAUGCCCUGCUGAAAAGGCCAAGCAGGACUCAAGUCUGCCUUGAAGAUGACGGUAGAGGAGUAAACAAAUGCUUGAAUAGUUGGAAUGCAAAUACCAAUUAUUAUCCAGAAAUGGGCAUUCAGUUGAUUUUGAAGGAACCUGAACUUUUGACUUGGAUUAUUCAGUUAUUCAAAACUACAUUUCUCUACUUGUUCACACUGAGCUUCAAGCAAUUCAUCAAUUACAGUUCAGAUUGUCCUCCUCUGGCCCUGGUUCCCGUGGAGGUUUCACCUUACGGAUUUCUGCCCUGUCACAUAUGUCACUGAGCAGGAGCAUGGAUUUAGGAGCUAGUUCUGUCACUAACUUUUAUGCUUAAG
This is a long non-coding RNA of Myotis brandtii (Brandt's bat), 737 nucleotides long. RefSeq lists it as uncharacterized. The record is from RefSeq and is a predicted model, not a curated record. The transcript has 9 exons. Lineage: Eukaryota; Metazoa; Chordata; Mammalia; Chiroptera; Vespertilionidae.